GUAGGUGGCAAGCGUUGUCCGGAAUUAUUGGGCGUAAAGCGCGCGCAGGCGGUUCUUUAAGUCUGAUGUGAAAGCCCACGGGCUCAACCGUGGAGGGUCAUUGGAAACUGGAGAACUUGAGUACAGAAGAGGAAAGCGGAAUUCCACGUGUAGCGGUGAAAUGCGUAGAGAUGUGGAGGAACACCAGUGGCGAAGGCGGCUUUCUGGUCUGUAACUGACGCUGAGGCGCGAAAGCGUGGGGAGCAAACAGGAUUAGAUACCCCGGUAGUCCACGCCGUAAACGAUGAGUGCUAAGUGUUAGGGGGUUUCCGCCCCUUAGUGCUGCAGCUAACGCAUUAAGCACUCCGCCUGGGGAGUACGGCCGCAAAGGCUGA
This 374-nucleotide ribosomal RNA is filed under the name uncultured organism. RNAcentral's name for it is "partial 16S ribosomal RNA". It matches the Rfam family "Bacterial small subunit ribosomal RNA", at positions 527 to 897 of the family's 1533-position model. The record is from RNAcentral.